Molecule: ribosomal RNA, 315 nt
Filed under: Polychrus jacquelinae (Jacquelines bush anole)
Lineage: Eukaryota; Metazoa; Chordata; Lepidosauria; Squamata; Polychrotidae
Description: partial 12S ribosomal RNA
Rfam family: Bacterial small subunit ribosomal RNA
Source: RNAcentral
UAGUGUCCGCCAGAGAACUACGAGCGAAAAGCUUAAAACUCAAAGGACUUGGCGGUGCUCCACAUCAACUUAGAGGAGCCUGUCCUAUAACCGAUACCCCACGUUAAACCUUACCAUCUUUUGCCCUCAGCCUAUAUACCGCCGUCGCAAACUUACCCCACAAGGGCCUAACAGUAAGUACAACUGACUCCCCCCCUCAAAAACGUCAGGUCGAGGUGUAGCUAAUAAGAUGGCAGAGAUGGGCUACAUUUUUUAAAAUAAAACACCACGGCACGGGGCUAUGAAACCCCCCCCCCAAGGCGGAUUUAACAGUAA